RNAcentral lists this ribosomal RNA (259 nucleotides) under uncultured bacterium. RNAcentral describes it as "partial 16S ribosomal RNA". It matches the Rfam family "Bacterial small subunit ribosomal RNA", at positions 1243 to 1500 of the family's 1533-position model. The record is from RNAcentral.
CGAGUCGCAAGCUCGCGAGAGUAAGCUAAUCUCUUAAAGCCGUUCUCAGUUCGGACUGUAGGCUGCAACUCGCCUACACGAAGUCGGAAUCGCUAGUAAUCGCGGAUCAGCAUGCCGCGGUGAAUACGUUCCCGGGCCUUGUACACACCGCCCGUCACACCAUGGGAGUUUGUAACGCCCAAAGUCGGUGGCCUAACCUCUAUGGAGGGAGCCGCCUAAGGCGGGACAGAUGACUGGGGUGAAGUCGUAACAAGGUACC